GGAUGAACGUUGGCGGUGUGCCUAAUACAUGCAAGUCGAACGGAGACUGUAGCAAUACUGUCUUAGUGGCGAACGGGCGAGUAACGCGUUGGUGAUCUGCCUCGAAGUGUGGAAUAACCUCCCGAAAGGGAAGCUAAUACCGCAUAGUCUCUCAAGGUUUAGAAAAUUGAGAGUAAAGGAUUUAUUCGCUUCGAGAGGAGCCUGCGUCCCAUCAGCUAGUUGGUAGGGUAACGGCCUACCAAGGCUAUGACGGGUAGGGGACCUGAGAGGGUGGCCCCCCACAAUGGAACUGAAACACGGUCCAUACACCUACGGGUGGCAGCAGUAGGGAAUAUUAGAAAUGGGCGGAAGCCUGAUCUAGCAACACCGCGUGUGCGAUGAAGGCCUUCGGGUCGUAAAGCACUUUUUGGAGGGAAUAGGAAGGAAGGUACCUCCAGAAUAAGUCUCGGCUAACUACGUGCCAGCAGCCGCGGUAACACGUAGGAGGCAAACGUUAUCCGGAUUCACUGGGCGUAAAGCGCGUGCAGGUGGUUUCGUAAGUAGGGCGUGAAAGCUCCCGGCUCAACUGGGAGAGGCCGUACUAAACUGCGGAGCUAGAGGAUGGUAGAGGGAGGUGGAAUUCCAGGUGUAGUGGUGAAAUGCGCAGAUAUCUGGAGGAACACCAGUGGCGAAGGCGGCCUCCUGGACCAUACCUGACACUNNGACGCGAAAGCUAGGGUAGCAAACGGAAUUAGAGACUCCGGUAGUCCUAGCCCUAAACGAUGCAGACUAGGCGUCGGCGGUUUAAUCACCGUCGGUGUCCAAGCUAACGCGAUAAGUCUGCCGCCUGAGGACUACGGCCGCAAGGCUAAAACUCAAAGGAAUUGACGGGUCCCCGCACAAGCAGCGGAGCGUGUGGUUUAAUUCGAUGCUCCGCGAAGAACCUUACCUGGGUUUGACAUAACAGUGGUGGAGAAACGAAAGUGGACCGACCCUUCGGGGAGCUGUUACAGGUGUUGCAUGGCUGUCGUCAGCUCGUGUCGUGAGAUGUUCGGUUAAGUCCCGCAACGAGCGCAACCCUUGCCGGUAGUUACUAACGGGAAGAGCCGAGGACUUUACCGGGACCGCCGGGGACAACUCGGAGGAAGGUGGGGACGACGUCUAAUCAUCAUGCCCCUUAUGACCUGGGCUACACACGUGCUACAAUGGCCGAGACAGAGGGCAGCGAAGGCGCGAGCCGGAGCGAAUCUCAAAAAAGCGGUCACAGUUCGGAUUGCGGGCUGCAACCCGCCCGCAUGAAGCAGGAGUUGCUAGUAAUCGCGAAUCAGCAUGUCGCGGUGAAUACGUUCCCGGGCCU
This 1336-nucleotide ribosomal RNA is filed under the name uncultured bacterium. Its description in RNAcentral is "bacterial SSU rRNA". It matches the Rfam family "Bacterial small subunit ribosomal RNA", at positions 27 to 1381 of the family's 1533-position model. The record is from RNAcentral.